GCUUUUUCAUUUUUUCGAGUGCUUAAAUAGUAGAGGCUAGUGAACACCUUUUCUAUGGCUGACAGAUGUUUAGCUCAGCACAUAGCUUGAAAACCAACUAGUAACCUCCAAGGGUUUGGAUGGAGUUGUGUGAUCGACAACUGAUAGUAUUGAAGUACUCGAAUGUAACAUGGAUCACGUGGAAACCUUAGUCCCACGUUCAGUAGUUCUUCAUACACAAUCACACAGU
This 229-nucleotide unclassified non-coding RNA is filed under the name Hevea brasiliensis (rubber tree). Lineage: Eukaryota; Viridiplantae; Streptophyta; Magnoliopsida; Malpighiales; Euphorbiaceae. The record is from RNAcentral.